This 27-nucleotide ribosomal RNA is filed under the name Humicola repens. Its description in RNAcentral is "partial 28S ribosomal RNA". The record is from RNAcentral. RNAcentral also lists the same sequence under 1 other name. Lineage: Eukaryota; Fungi; Ascomycota; Sordariomycetes; Sordariales; Chaetomiaceae.
UACCCAAGGUUGACCUCGGAUCAGGUA